RNAcentral lists this ribosomal RNA (292 nucleotides) under uncultured bacterium. RNAcentral describes it as "partial 16S ribosomal RNA". It matches the Rfam family "Bacterial small subunit ribosomal RNA", at positions 796 to 1081 of the family's 1533-position model. The record is from RNAcentral.
CACGCUGUAAACGAUGACGACUAGGUGUGGGGGGGUUCAGUCCCUUCCGUGCCGCAGCUAACGCAUUAAGUCGUCCGCCUGGGGAGUACGGCCGCAAGGUUGAAACUCAAAGGAAUUGACGGGGGCCCGCACAAGCGGUGGAGCAUGUGGUUCAAUUCGAUGCAGAGCGAAGAACCUUACCUGGGCUUGACAUGCAGGAAGUAGGAACCGGAAACGGGGACGACCUGUUAAGUCAGGAACCCGCACAGGUGGUGCAUGGCUGUCGUCAGCUCGGGCCUUGAGGUGUUGGGUU